Molecule: transfer RNA, 75 nt
Filed under: Chloroflexota bacterium
Lineage: Bacteria; Bacillati; Chloroflexota
Description: Chloroflexi bacterium (groundwater metagenome) tRNA-Thr
Rfam family: tRNA
About the family: Transfer RNA (tRNA) molecules are approximately 80 nucleotides in length. Their secondary structure includes four short double-helical elements and three loops (D, anti-codon, and T loops).
Source: RNAcentral
GCCAGCGUAGCUCAGCGGUAGAGCAGUUGUUUCGUAAACAACCGGCCGUCGGUUCGAUUCCGACCGCUGGCUCCA